RNAcentral lists this ribosomal RNA (301 nucleotides) under uncultured bacterium. RNAcentral describes it as "partial 16S ribosomal RNA". It matches the Rfam family "Bacterial small subunit ribosomal RNA", at positions 509 to 807 of the family's 1533-position model. The record is from RNAcentral.
CAGUCGCCACGGUAACACAGAGGGUGCGAGCGUUAAUCGGAUUUACUGGGCGUAAAGCGUGCGUAGGCGGCUUUUUAAGUCGGAUGUGAAAUCCCUGAGCUUAACUUAGGAAUUGCAUUCGAUACUGGGAAGCUAGAGUAUGGGAGAGGAUGGUAGAAUUCCAGGUGUAGCGGUGAAAUGCGUAGAGAUCUGGAGGAAUACCGAUGGCGAGGGCAGCCAUCUGGCCUAAUACUGACGCUGAGGUACGAAAGCAUGGGGAGCAAACAGGAUUAGAUACCCCAGUAGUCCCUGUCUCUUAUAC